Molecule: non-coding RNA, 143 nt
Filed under: Candidatus Merdicola faecigallinarum
Lineage: Bacteria; Bacillati; Bacillota; Clostridia
Also listed under: 1 other name
Description: glmS glucosamine-6-phosphate activated ribozyme
Rfam family: glmS glucosamine-6-phosphate activated ribozyme aptamer
About the family: This entry contains a glucosamine-6-phosphate activated ribozyme that is found in the mRNA for GlmS. GlmS is an enzyme that uses fructose-6-phosphate and glutamine to generate glucosamine-6-phosphate. The ribozyme catalyses self cleavage of the glmS mRNA that is thought to regulate GlmS activity.
Source: RNAcentral
AAAAAAAAAGCGCCAGGACAAUAGUAUAUUGUUGACGAGGUCAGAGCUUUAUCGAAAUUUUCGGCGGAUAGCUCUGUGGCAUAUGUUACUGCCAUAAAUAUUAGAUAAAAAAUAGUAGUAAUACUAUAACAAAACUAAUAGGG